RNAcentral lists this long non-coding RNA (3630 nucleotides) under Sorghum bicolor (sorghum). Its description in RNAcentral is "long non-coding RNA (SBIC_LNC012936)". Lineage: Eukaryota; Viridiplantae; Streptophyta; Magnoliopsida; Poales; Poaceae. The record is from RNAcentral.
GGCGAUGGUAGGAGAAUAGAGAGGAUAACUAUGGUUUCUCUACUUCAAAGGGGUAUGUCUAUGUCUGGGACGAACCACGUGAUAAGAAUACACCACAAAGGAUGCUUAUCCAUAGGCCGAUAAACCCUACCAGUCCCGCUAACGGGAGGUGGACUACAGAGGACCAACGUAGGUGUCACAUACGCGGCCUACCACACGAUCCGGCUAGACAGAGGAUAUCCACAAGUAAUCUAGGUGUAAGCACCAUGCUUACACCUAUACUACAACUCUCACCUAUAGCGUCCUAUAGAUUAAAGUACUCAAAAGAGUUGUGAACCAAAACAUACAUGGAUAGUAAUUGCACAAUGUAAUAAGAAGUAGAUUACCAGAGUCAUCCCAUGAGCAAGCUUGAUUAGAGCUUAAUCAUGGCGAAGUACAACCGGAGGAAGAACCGACAGGCCGGCCUCUCCUCCAAUCCUCCCUCGCUCUCCAUCUCGCUACUAUCUAGAUCUACUCUAGUUUAGAGAAGAGAGGAGAGCUCUCAUCUCCAAACCCUAGCUUUUCCUCUGUCUAUGAAUAAUGAAUAGGGAUCAAGGGGUGCCUCCUCUAGGGGCCAGGGGGUCUGCUUAUAUGGCCCUUCCAAGUGAAUGUGGGCCGUCAGAUCAAACCGACCUUAAUCGCAUGGUUUUCCUUGAUCCUUUUGGUCGGUGGAGCAUAAUCCGUGAGGCGGAGCCUGAUUGGUCCAGAUGACAGGGCGGGGGCCCAAGGGGGGAGGGCGGGCGCCCUGCCCCCGGGCCCGCUCGGCUUCCCGUUCGUUCCCGUGGCUUUUGGAGUCUUCUAGAUGAUAGAAAAUUACGCGACAUGUUAAUAUCUCUAUGUAAACCCGACAUGUGGGCCUUUCCUCCAUAUUUCCUGAUAACUCCCUAUAGAAAUAGACAAACACCAAAACUCGUGGAAUUCUGUCAGAUAAAACCCUAAGUUUGGGUGUUUGUUGCAUUUGGAUCCUUUUCUUUGGUUAUUUGAUAAUUAAAUUUGAUACUUAAGGACCGUCAACAACUCCCCCAAGCUUACCUCUUGCUCGUCCCUGAGCAAGGAUGGACUCAAGAGUUUCUGCAGUGGUUUCAAGCCUUAAAGGUACACAUGCAUUCAAACAAGAUCUCAUCUCUGGGUUAGGGUAAACUGUUAAGAUUUAAACUUACUCAUAUUACCUUCCACCAUGGGGCUUGCAGCCGUCACUUGUGUCUUGAGCAGUUAAAAGAUAGAACGGUCAAGUCAAGCGCCAUGUCUCUUGUUCUUGAUCAACUAUAGCUCUGGAGUUUUUGCAGAUUUUCAAAUAAAACUCAGAGAUUCCUUGUAUGACUCUCUCUAGUCUCUCUUUUGUGGUUUUUCUGGAUCCUUACCAAGGCAGUAAUGGUGUAUGCCUUCUCUCAAAGUAUGUGGUAUUUUUGGUAUGAGGCAGUGACAUUGCCUUCUCUCUCACCCUACUCUAAUAAGGUUUUGAUAUCUGGAGCUCAUAGGUGGGAGACAGCUAAUACAUACUUACAAGACAUUUAUUGCAUAGUCAAACCAUGGAUCUAGAGAAACAAGUCAAUAAGUCAGAUCAAGAUGUGCAUGUGUGGCGAAUGAAUGGUGUAUGGUGAUGAUGGUGAAAACAAUGGUGAAAGUCUAAUUCUACUUUUGCUCUUUUGAGGGGAUACAUACCUUUCAUGCACUUUGAAGCUUUUUAAGGGGGAAUGAGAUGCUCUAUAUAUUUUUUUUAUUUUCUAUCAGGUGGGUAUCUUGUACCCCUAAUUCUACUGUCGGACACUUUUCAAUUCUACUGUCGGACACUUUUCCAUUUUUACCUCUCGUCGUACUUUUUAUUUUCUUCGAGGUUCCGGGCACUUGCCCCUUUUUAUUUCCUCGUAUUUUUCACUUUUUUUUCUUUUUUUAAAGCACUCACCCUCCUGGAAUAAUGCAGCAAGUGGUAGUAACCAAAAUAUCUCAAGCAUUUAUUUCACUAGGAAAAGCAGGAAUGGGAUAAUGUUUUUGGCUAUUCUCUCCCGGAUAGGAGUAGAAUAAUUUUGGGUGAAUCUGGAGAUGGAAAUGAGGUGAUGUAUGUGGAUGCGUACUUCCCGAGUAGAAGCAGCAUGUAUGAGUGAACGUGCAAGUGAAUCUUGAUUUUAACGGCUUGACAAGCUCCUUAAGGGUCUACAUAGCUUGACCACACUCAAUGCUCAUAAGUAGUAAAAAGUAAAUGUAUGGUUCCUAGUUGUUGACGGUCCUUAAUGCUCACAUUUAACUGUCAACUAAUCAUGGAAAAAGAUCCAAAUGCAACCAAUACCCAGACUUAGGGUUUUAUCUGACAGAAUUCCACAAGUUUUGGUGUUUGUCUAUUUCUGCAGGGGGUUAUCAGGAAAUACGGAAGAAAGGCCCACACGUCGGGUUUACAUAGAGAUAUUAACUUGACGCGCAAUUAUCUACCAUCUAGAAGAGUCCAGAAGCCACGGGAGUGAACGGGAGAUGUGACGGAGCCGGGCACUGGGCGCCCGCCCUCCCUUACUGGGCGCCCGCGCUCCCCCCUGGACCAAUCAGGGCGAAGCUCAGGGAUCAUGCUCCACCGACCUAAUACUUCAAGGAAAACCACACGAUCAAUGUCGGUUUGAUCCGACGGCCCAGAUUCAUCUGAAAAGACUAUAUAAGCAAGGCCCCCUGGCCCCUGGAGAUCAUACCUCUUCUACAGAAUCAAAGCUAGGGUUUCAAUUCUUCAUCCAAGUAGAGAGGAUCCCUCUAGUUCUUCUAGUUCUACCUCUAGUUCAUCUAGAUCUAGUUCUAGUUCAUCUAGUUCUAGUUCUAGUUCCUCUAGUUUUAGUUCUAGUUGGUUCUAGUUGUAAUCUAGAAAAUAUGAAGAGAGAAGAGGAGAGAGUUGGAGGAGCCGGAUCUGUCUGAUCUUCCUCAACAUUGUACUUUUGCAGCAACUGGUUCGUUCUUCGUCGUUCUCCAGGUUCUUCAAUUCAUAAUUCCUGAGUUCUUUAAUUACUUUUAUUUACAUUCAAGUUAUUUAUUGGAUUCCCGCUUGCAUCAAGUGCUCUAGUCUUUAUAACGCUAGAGUAGUAAUUAAUAGAUUAGACGUGGUGUUUAGUCUUGCAAUUACCUGGAAUUGCACCAAAUCCUGCGGAUUGUUGUGGUAGCCUUAGGGUAGUGAUAGCCCUAAUGGUCAAUGUAUUCCACCUCGUUCGGAUCGGUGUUUGUAGGACCGUAGUCAGACCUUCCUAGCCCCCUUCUCAUCUCUUUCUGUGGUUUGUGCUCUGAUGUCCCAAUAUAGAUAAUCUUGAAGUAAUUCUUGAUUCUUAGAUCAACUAGAGAACUCUCAGGAAACUUCCUCUCUUCCCACCAAAAACAAUUAUAUAGUUAUCCUUGGGCGAUCUUGGAUCUUAAUUAGUACACUCAUGUUCUCUGUGGAAAAUCGAUACUCUGGAAUACUCCCGGGUGAAGGCUACAUCGGUAUCCGUGCGCUUGCAUAUAUUUUCUGUUUGCGUUUAAAAUACCCAACAAGCUUUCCGGCGCCGUUGUCGGGGAACGGUAGCUGUGCUAGUUUCGAACCAAGUCAUCCGUGUAUCCUUUUUCUUUUCCUUUUUUACCACACUCACCUUACCAUUUUCACCACACCAC